CCUACGGGCGGCUGCAGUGGGGAAUAUUGGACAAUGGGCGAAAGCCUGAUCCAGCCAUGCCGCGUGUGUGAAGAAGGCCUUCGGGUUGUAAAGCACUUUCAGUGGGGAAGAAAGCCUUGGGGCUAAUACCCUCGAGGAAGGACAUCACCCACAGAAGAAGCACCGGCUAACUCCGUGCCAGCAGCCGCGGUAAUACGGAGGGUGCGAGCGUUAAUCGGAAUUACUGGGCGUAAAGCGCGCGUAGGCGGUCUGAUAAGCCGGUUGUGAAAGCCCCGGGCUCAACCUGGGAACGGCAUCCGGAACUGUCAGGCUAGAGUGCAGGAGAGGAAGGUAGAAUUCCCGGUGUAGCGGUGAAAUGCGUAGAGAUCGGGAGGAAUACCAGUGGCGAAGGCGGCCUUCUGGACUGACACUGACGCUGAGGUGCGAAAGUGUGGGUAGCAAACAGGAUUAGAUACCCCUGUAGUC
Molecule: ribosomal RNA, 465 nt
Filed under: Vreelandella stevensii
Lineage: Bacteria; Pseudomonadati; Pseudomonadota; Gammaproteobacteria; Oceanospirillales; Halomonadaceae
Description: partial 16S ribosomal RNA
Rfam family: Bacterial small subunit ribosomal RNA
Source: RNAcentral